GCGCCAGACGAUCGCAGGCGCAUCCGCGCUUGAGGAAAGUCCGAGCACCGCAGGGCAGGGUGCCGGUUAACUGCCGGUGGAGGCGACUUCAAGGAAAGUGCAACAGAGAUAUACCGCGUAAAACGGCGAACGCGCCUUUGGGCGCGUCCGUCGCCCCCUCGGGGGACGUAAGGCUGGAAAGGCGAGGUAAGAGCUCACCCGCGGCUUGGCGACUUGUCCGCGCUGUAAACCCCACCUGGUGCAAGAUUGAUAGGGAAGCAUGGGCAGGCGCGCGAAGGCCUUCGGGCCGGAACGCCCUGCCCGGCGGCGGCCCGUCGCGCUUCCGGGUAAUCGCUUGAGCCUGCUGGCAACCGCAGGCCCAGAUAGAUGAUCGUCCAAUACAGAACUCGGCUUACAGACG
Molecule: RNase P RNA, 400 nt
Filed under: bovine gut metagenome
Description: Bacterial RNase P class A
Rfam family: Bacterial RNase P class A
About the family: Ribonuclease P (RNase P) is a ubiquitous endoribonuclease, found in archaea, bacteria and eukarya as well as chloroplasts and mitochondria. Its best characterised activity is the generation of mature 5'-ends of tRNAs by cleaving the 5'-leader elements of precursor-tRNAs.
Source: RNAcentral